This 253-nucleotide ribosomal RNA is filed under the name uncultured bacterium. RNAcentral describes it as "partial 16S ribosomal RNA". It matches the Rfam family "Bacterial small subunit ribosomal RNA", at positions 524 to 776 of the family's 1533-position model. The record is from RNAcentral.
UACGGGGGGGGCAAGCGUUGUUCGGAAUUACUGGGCGUAAAGGGCUCGUAGGCGGCCAACUAAGUCGGAUGUGAAAUCCCCAGGCUUAACCUGGGAACUGCAUCCGAUACUGGAUGGCUUGAAUCCGGGAGAGGGAUGCAGAAUUCCAGGUGUAGCGGUGAAAUGCGUAGAUAUCUGGAGGAAUACCGGUGGCGAAGGCGGCAUCCUGGACCGGCAUUGACGCUGAGGAGCGAAAGCUAGGGGAGCGAACAGG